Molecule: ribosomal RNA, 253 nt
Filed under: uncultured bacterium
Lineage: Bacteria
Description: partial 16S ribosomal RNA
Rfam family: Bacterial small subunit ribosomal RNA
Source: RNAcentral
UACGAGGGGUGCUAGCGUUGUUCGGAAUCAUUGGGCGUAAAGAGUAUGUAGGCGGUCAAAUAAGUCAGUUGUGAAAUCCCCGGGCUCAACCCGGGAAGUGCAAUUGAUACUGUUUGGCUUGAGUAUGGAAGAGGGUAGUGGAAUUCCAGGUGUAGUGGUGAAAUACGUAGAUAUCUGGAGGAAUACCGGUGGCGAAGGCGGCUACCUGGUCCUAUACUGACGCUGAGAUACGAAAGCAUGGGUAGCAAACAGG